AUUUUCUUUAAAUGGCUUCAGCCAUUUGACAGCGGCGAUGCUGAAAUGUGGGACAAGACCUUCCAACAUCUUCCACAUAAAUAACAACGUGUGUGUGCGUGUGAGCGUGUGUGCUUCAAAUGUGGAAAGGAAAACAAAAGGCACAGACAGGUGAGAGAACAACAAACAAGUUGUGUUAGUUUGACGGUCAGGAAGACUAUAAAAGUUUUCAACGUUUCGAGCCUACGCUCUUCGACAGAAAGGAAUGAGCUUCGGUCACCACCACCACUACUACUACUACU
Molecule: long non-coding RNA, 281 nt
Organism: Octopus bimaculoides (California two-spot octopus)
Lineage: Eukaryota; Metazoa; Mollusca; Cephalopoda; Octopoda; Octopodidae
Source: RefSeq, a predicted model, not a curated record